CUGAAUUGUCAACAUGGGUUGUCGCUGGCCUCCAUAUGGGGGCAUGUGCACGCUCUGUUUGCAUAUCCACUCACACCUGUGCACCCUCUGUAGUUCUAUGGCCUGGGAGGCUUUGUCCCCCUGCUGUGGUUCUAUGUCUUUACAUACACACCGAAAUGAAGUCCCAUGGAAUGUAUGCCGCGUUUAACGCAAUGAAAUA
This 199-nucleotide unclassified non-coding RNA is filed under the name uncultured Tomentella. Its description in RNAcentral is "sequence contains ITS1". Lineage: Eukaryota; Fungi; Basidiomycota; Agaricomycetes; Thelephorales; Thelephoraceae. The record is from RNAcentral.